UACGGAGGGUGCAAGCAUUAAUCGGAUUUAUUGGGCGUAAAGGGCGCGUAGGCGGGAGUAUAAGUCAUAUGUGAAAUCCCAGAGCUCAACUCUGGAACAGCAUACGAAACUAUAUUUCUUGAGGGUAGGCGGAGAAAACGGAAUUCCACAAGUAGCGGUGAAAUGCGUAGAUAUGUGGAAGAACACCCGUGGCGAAGGCGGCUCUCUGGGACGGUACUGACGCUGAGACGCGAAAGCGUGGGGAGCGAACAGG
This 253-nucleotide ribosomal RNA is filed under the name uncultured bacterium. RNAcentral's name for it is "partial 16S ribosomal RNA". It matches the Rfam family "Bacterial small subunit ribosomal RNA", at positions 524 to 776 of the family's 1533-position model. The record is from RNAcentral.